UGUAGAGACCACAACCUCUGCAGGGUUCCA
Molecule: non-coding RNA, 30 nt
Filed under: Rattus norvegicus (Norway rat)
Lineage: Eukaryota; Metazoa; Chordata; Mammalia; Rodentia; Muridae
Source: RNAcentral